ACUCACGGUAUGCCGCAUCGAUGAAGAACGCAGCGAAAUGCGAUACGUAAUGUGAAUUCCAGAAUUCAGUGAAUCAUCGAGUCUUUGAACGCACAUUGCGCCCCUGGUAUUCCGGGGGGCAUGCCUGUCCGAGCGUCAUUUCAACCAUCAAGCCCCCGGGCUUGUGUUGGGGACCUGCGGCCGCCGCAGGCCCCGAAAAGCAGUGGCGGGCUCGCUGUCACCCCGAGCGUAGUAGCAAUCACCUCGCUCAGGGCGUGCUGUGGGCACCGGCCGUUAAAACCAACGUACCAACGUACCCCCAAAGGUUGACCUCGGAUCAGGUAGGAAUACCCGCUGAACUUAA
Molecule: unclassified non-coding RNA, 343 nt
Filed under: uncultured Acrophialophora
Lineage: Eukaryota; Fungi; Ascomycota; Sordariomycetes; Sordariales; Chaetomiaceae
Description: sequence contains ITS1
Rfam family: 5.8S ribosomal RNA (bases 13-138)
Source: RNAcentral